This 72-nucleotide transfer RNA is filed under the name Chelonia mydas (Green sea turtle). It matches the Rfam family "tRNA". From Rfam's summary of the family: Transfer RNA (tRNA) molecules are approximately 80 nucleotides in length. Their secondary structure includes four short double-helical elements and three loops (D, anti-codon, and T loops). Lineage: Eukaryota; Metazoa; Chordata; Testudines; Cheloniidae. The record is from Rfam by way of RNAcentral.
GGGUCCAUGGCGUAGUGCUUAGCGCUCUGGGCUCUGAAUCCAGUGAGCUGAGUUCAAAUCUCCGUGCGACUU